Molecule: long non-coding RNA, 1697 nt
Filed under: Populus trichocarpa (black cottonwood)
Lineage: Eukaryota; Viridiplantae; Streptophyta; Magnoliopsida; Malpighiales; Salicaceae
Description: long non-coding RNA (PTRI_LNC003797)
Source: RNAcentral
UGCACUGAGAGAGCUCUUGAUUGGGGCCCGGGUGGUGGUCCUGAUUUGAUUGUUGAUGAUGGUGGUGAUGCUACUCUCUUGAUUCACGAGGGUGUGAAAGCUGAGGAGAUUUAUGAGAAGACUGGUGUUUUGCCAGAUCCAGCUUCGACUGAUAAUGUAGAGUUUCAGCUUGUUUUGACAAUUAUUAGAGAUGGGUUGAAGAGUGAUCCCAUGAAGUAUCACAAGAUGAAGGAAAGAUUGGUUGGUGUUUCAGAGGAAACCACAACUGGUGUUAAGAGAUUGUAUCAAAUGCAGGCUAAUGGGACUUUGCUUUUCCCUGCCAUUAAUGUUAACGACUCUGUGACCAAGAGCAAGGUACUGUUUUUUCUGCCUUUUAGAUCUGGGUUUUUGUUGCUUAGAUCUGUUAUGUCUUUUGUGUUUUAUGUUUCAGAUCUCAUAUGAUUCAUAUUGGUGUUUUCAAAAUGAUAAUUGAGUUUUAGAUCUGAUAUUUACUUGAUUUUUUUAGUUUGAUUCAAUUGUGGUGUGGAUUUUUCUAAGGAAAUUUUUUAGAGGUUUGUGGCGAAAGAAUCCUUUGAAGAUCUAAUAUUUUGUCUUCUUGAAGAAGCAAAAAUGACAGUUUUGGAAUGUUUGUGUGAUUCUAACUCCAUUGGAACUAAAGGCACUGUUAAUCAGUCGAUUUGACUAUUAGUGCUCAGCUGUUUGUGUCAUGCAGUAUGAAGUUUCUAGAUGAAUAUUAUGAGUUCAUUUUAUUUUUUUGUAAGAAUCAGCUGUUGAUGGCAUGAUUGCAGAAUUGGUUAAUCGGGCUUUCCAUGAUUUCAUUUCCUGUUUUGGUCAAACAGUUUCUCAUAAUCUUUGUGGAUGCAGUUUGAUAACUUGUAUGGAUGCCGUCACUCUCUCCCUGAUGGUUUGAUGAGAGCUACUGAUGUCAUGAUUGCCGGAAAGGUUGCUGUGGUCUGUGGUUAUGGUGAUGUUGGCAAGGGCUGUGCAGCUGCCAUGAAGCAAGCUGGAGCUCGUGUGAUCGUGACUGAGAUUGAUCCCAUUUGCGCUCUUCAGGCUCUCAUGGAGGGUCUCCAGGUCUUGACCCUUGAAGAUGUUGUCUCCGAGGCUGAUAUCUUUGUGACCACCACCGGUAACAAGGACAUCAUCAUGGUUGACCACAUGAGGAAGAUGAAGAACAAUGCCAUUGUCUGCAACAUUGGUCACUUCGAUAAUGAAAUCGACAUGCACGGACUUGAGACCUUCCCUGGUGUGAAACGCAUCACCAUCAAGCCCCAAACUGAUAGGUGGGUUUUCCCUGAUACCAAAUCGGGCAUCCUUGUCCUGGCCGAGGGACGUCUCAUGAACCUGGGUUGUGCCACUGGUCACCCCAGUUUUGUGAUGUCCUGCUCAUUCACCAACCAGGUGAUUGCUCAGCUUGAGCUGUGGAACGAGAAGACAUCCGGCAAGUAUGAGAAGAAGGUCUAUGUUUUGCCCAAGCACCUUGAUGAGAAGGUUGCUUCCCUUCACCUUGGCAAGCUUGGAGCCAGGCUCACCAAGCUCUCCAAGGACCAGGCAGACUACAUCAACGUUCCAGUUGAGGGUCCCUACAAGCCUGCUCAGUACAGGUACUGAGAGAUGGAAUUUGAGGAAAGACCAUCUGUUUGGACGGCGCUAUUGUUUCUUUUGUAUCUUGCUGAUGAUUUGUCUUAGAAUAUCAG